GGGGCUGCAUUGGUUUCGACGUGGGUUCGGACGCGGUGUGGUGCAUGUCGAGCUGAAUGUGCUCGUAAAACAGAUUCAAAAAAAGUAACUGCAAACGACGAACGUUUCGCAAUCGCUGCUUAAACACCAGUGAUCCUUACAACAGCUCGCCGAUGGGCUGGGCAAGGGUGGCCUGAUGCAAGUCAGGUUGUCCAGGCUGUAAGGUCAUACACAUCGGCUGGCUUCCGACCGGGCACCUUGGCCGGAGGCGAGAAAAUAGGAUGCUGGCGGCCUGUAUAGCGUGCGACUGCGCGAUCCAGGUGGCGAGACCUAAAUCAGACCGCUAAACAUGUAGAUCUGCUCGAACAAGGCUUGCGGACGGGGGUUCAAAUCCCCCCAGCUCCACCA
RNAcentral lists this transfer-messenger RNA (387 nucleotides) under Burkholderiaceae bacterium. It matches the Rfam family "transfer-messenger RNA". From Rfam's summary of the family: Bacterial tmRNA, also known as 10Sa RNA or SsrA, is named for its dual tRNA and mRNA-like properties. Its role is to liberate the mRNA from a stalled ribosome. The record is from RNAcentral. Lineage: Bacteria; Pseudomonadati; Pseudomonadota; Betaproteobacteria; Burkholderiales; Burkholderiaceae.